Molecule: ribosomal RNA, 497 nt
Filed under: uncultured bacterium
Lineage: Bacteria
Description: partial 16S ribosomal RNA
Rfam family: Bacterial small subunit ribosomal RNA
Source: RNAcentral
GAUGAACGCUGGCGGCGUGCCUAAUACAUGCAAGUCGAGCGAACGGACGAGAAGCUUGCUUCUCUGAUGUUAGCGGCGGACGGGUGAGUAACACGUGGAUAACCUACCUAUAAGACUGGGAUAACUUCGGGAAACCGGAGCUAAUACCGGAUGAUAUUUUGAACCGCAUGGUUCAAAAGUGAAAGACGGUCUUGCUGUCACUUAUAGAUGGAUCCGCGCUGCAUUAGCUAGUUGGUAAGGUAACGGCUUACCAAGGCAACGAUGCAUAGCCGACCUGAGAGGGGGGUCGCCAAAACUGGAACUGAGACGCGGUCAGGACUCCUAGGGGAGGCAGCAGUGGGGAAUCUUCCGCAGGGGGGGAAAGCCUGACGGAGCACCGCGGCGGGGGUGAUGAAGGUCUUCGGAUCGUAAAACUCUUUUAUUGGGGAAAAACAUAUGUGAAAGAAACUGUGCACAUCUUGAGGGUACCUAAUCAAAAAGCCACGGCUAACUACGUC